GACGAACGCUGGCGGCGUGCUUAACACAUGCAAGUCGAACGGAAAGGCCCUGCUUUUGUGGGGUGCUCGAGUGGCGAACGGGUGAGUAACACGUGAGUAACCUGUCCUUGUCUUUGGGAUAACUUCAGGAAACUGGGGCUAAUACCGGAUAGGAGCUCCUGCUGCAUGGUGGGGGUUGGAAAGUGUCGGCGGUUGGGGAUGGACUGGCGGCUUAUCAGCUUGUUGGUGUGGUAGUGGCUUACCAAGGCUUUGACGGGUAGCCGGCCUGAGAGGGUGACCGGCCACAUUGGGACUGAGAUACGGCCCAGUCUGCUACGGGAGGCAGCAGUGGAGAAUAUUGCACAAUGAGCGGAAGCCUGAUGCAGCAACGCCGCGUGCGGGAUGACGGCCUUCGGGUUGUGAACCGCUUUCGCAUGUGACGAAGCGUGAGUGACGGUAAUGGGUAAAGAAGCACCGGCUAACUACGUG
Molecule: ribosomal RNA, 468 nt
Filed under: uncultured bacterium
Lineage: Bacteria
Description: partial 16S ribosomal RNA
Rfam family: Bacterial small subunit ribosomal RNA
Source: RNAcentral